This 583-nucleotide long non-coding RNA is filed under the name Mytilus galloprovincialis (Mediterranean mussel). The record is from RNAcentral. Lineage: Eukaryota; Metazoa; Mollusca; Bivalvia; Mytilida; Mytilidae.
UUCUAUUUGGCCUCAUGGGUACUGUAAAAAGUAAAAUCACAAAAAAAUACUGAACUUAGAGUAAAAUCUAAUCGGAAAGUCAAUAAUCACAUGGCAAAAUCAAAUAACAGAACACAUCAAACACGAAUGUACAAGAACUGUCAUAUUCCUGACUUGGUACAGGUAUUUUCAACACUUCUAAUACAUAUACAUUAGUUUAGUGAUUUUAUUUAAAAUAAAACUAAGUAGCAUAUUAAUCUAUUGCAAUAAAAAAUCAUAAUAUCUAAUAAAAUUUGUAGAUUUAGCUAACAAAGUCCUUAUAUUUGUAUAAAGUAACAUUCGUUUAUAGUGGAAAAUUGUUUUAACGUUGAAUAAGCUACAAUUAAAAAUUGCUUGCUGAUCCCUCUCUGUGAUUACCAUUACACAGUGUAGAUACUAUUCUGUACGCUAUCCGGAAGUCGCGAUUUUCGAAGCGAUGAUUUCCAACUGGCUAACAGGACGGUUUUGCCUACGGUAACUUUUCCCAUCAUUUGUUUACUCCUAUAUCUACAAAGUGCUUUGAACAUCUUCAAGGUAUAUAUAGCAUCAUAAAUAUGAGUAACUG